This 351-nucleotide ribosomal RNA is filed under the name uncultured bacterium. RNAcentral describes it as "bacterial SSU rRNA". It matches the Rfam family "Bacterial small subunit ribosomal RNA", at positions 8 to 349 of the family's 1533-position model. The record is from RNAcentral.
AGAGUUUGAUCCUGGCUCAGGAUGAACGCUAGCUACAGGCUUAACACAUGCAAGUCGAGGGGAAACGACAUCGAAAGCUUGCUUUUGAUGGGCGUCGACCGGCGCACGGGUGAGUAACGCGUAUCCAACCUGCCCACCACUUGGGGAUAACCUUGCGAAAAUAAGACUAAUACCCAAUGAUAUCUCUAGAAGACAUCUGAAAGAGAUUAAAGAUUUAUCGGUGAUGGAUGGGGAUGCGUCUGAUUAGCUUGUUGGCGGGGUAACGGCCACAAGGCGACGAUCAGUAGGGGUUCUGAGAGGAAGGUCCCCCCANAUUGGAACUGAGACACGGUCCAAACUCCUACGGGAGCA